Molecule: long non-coding RNA, 964 nt
Filed under: Solanum tuberosum (potato)
Lineage: Eukaryota; Viridiplantae; Streptophyta; Magnoliopsida; Solanales; Solanaceae
Description: long non-coding RNA (STUB_LNC007902)
Source: RNAcentral
AUCCCUAGCUGCACCUUAGGAUCAUGGGUUUGGUCUAGGGUUAUUGAGUUUGUUAUAAUCCGGUUAAUUAGACCUUUGAUUGUUGGUCCUUGCGUAUAUUAAGUGUUUGUAGACCUAGAACAAGUGGGAAGAAUCCAGAAAGGGAAGAUUCAAAUGUUUUAGGGGAUUCAAGCUUGGAUUCGAGGUAGGUGAUGGUUGUGAUUUCAUGUUGGUGUGAUGUAUGUUGGUAAUUACUUCGUUUUAAUGCAUGUAUGUAUGCGAAUGUUGCAUUAUUGAUCACACUAAUCGUAAAUGAGUAUGAAUGAAGAAUUGUAUGCCAUGAAUCAACUCUUGAUUGUAUGAUUAUGAGAAAGUACAUUGUAAUUGUGAUUGUGGCUUGUUGAAUGAAUUGUGUAUUACGUUCUUACAUACUAACUUGGAUCGGGUGUCACAAUCCGACACACUAACAGUUUGGGUAUGGGUUCCAUGAGAGGAUCAUAUAAUUGGGUUCCGUGAGAGGACCAUUGAAUUGUGUUGUGUAUCUACUUGUGAUGAUUAUGUUCAUAUCUUAUGGUGAUUGAGUUUGAAAGACUGUUUGUUGCUCUAAAAUAAUAACUAAUGUGUAUUAUUGAGAACGUGGAGUGCUACAAUUGAUCCUGAAAAGAUGACUAAUAUUGUAUAUGUUCGGUAUACGCGUAUUUACUAUGUUGUGACUGCUUAUAUAUGUUUCAGUUAAUGGGAUAACCGUGUGAUCCUACCAGUACAUUGUGGUUGUGUACUGAUACUGCACUUGCUCUUUCUUUGUUGAGUACAAGGCAUCUUCAGGCAGCUACUGACAGAUUUCGUCUAGAAGAUCAGUGAUCAAUUGAAUUCAUGGGUAAGCCAAUUCUUCCAUGCUACCAUGAGUUCUCGUUAUUUUUAGUCCAUUUCUAUUCGGACUUAGACUAGUACUUUAGAUUUCCUUAUGUUUAAUUGGGUUGUACCC